AGAGUUUGAUCCUGGCUCAGAACGAACGCUGGCGGCAGGCUUAACACAUGCAAGUCGAACGCCCCGCAAGGGGAGUGGCAGACGGGUGAGUAACGCGUGGGAAUCUACCCAUCUCUACGGAAUAACUCAGGGAAACUUGUGCUAAUACCGUAUACGCCCUUCGGGGGAAAGAUUUAUCGGAGAUGGAUGAGCCCGCGUUGGAUUAGCUAGUUGGUGGGGUAAAGGCCUACCAAGGCGACGAUCCAUAGCUGGUCUGAGAGGAUGAUCAGCCACAUUGGGACUGAGACACGGCCCAAACUCCUACGGGAGGCAGCAGUGGGGAAUAUUGGACAAUGGGCGCAAGCCUGAUCCAGCCAUGCCGCGUGAGUGAUGAAGGCCCUAGGGUUGUAAAGCUCUUUCACCGGUGAAGAUAAUGACGGUAACCGGAGAAGAAGCCCCGGCUAACUUCGUGCCAGCCGCCGCGGUAAUAC
This 470-nucleotide ribosomal RNA is filed under the name uncultured bacterium. RNAcentral describes it as "bacterial SSU rRNA". It matches the Rfam family "Bacterial small subunit ribosomal RNA", at positions 8 to 526 of the family's 1533-position model. The record is from RNAcentral.